UACAGAGGUCCCAAGCGUUGUUCGGAUUUAUUGGGCGUAAAGGGUGCGUAGGUGGUAGGCUAAGUCGGAUGUGAAAUCCCGGGGCUCAACCUCGGAACUGCAUUCGAUACUGGCUUGCUUGAGGACUGGAGAGGAGAUUGGAAUUCAUGGUGUAGCAGUGAAAUGCGUAGAUAUCAUGAGGAAGACCAGUGGCGAAGGCGGAUCUCUGGACAGUUCCUGACACUGAGGCACGAAGGCUAGGGGAGCAAACGGG
RNAcentral lists this ribosomal RNA (253 nucleotides) under uncultured bacterium. RNAcentral's name for it is "partial 16S ribosomal RNA". It matches the Rfam family "Bacterial small subunit ribosomal RNA", at positions 524 to 776 of the family's 1533-position model. The record is from RNAcentral.